GACGAACGCUGGCGGCGUGCUUAACACAUGCAAGUCGAACGAUGAAGAAAAGAAUCGAAGCUUCGGCAGAAAUUCAUUUCGGAUUAGUGGCAGACGGGUGAGUAACGCGUGAGCAACCUACCUCUUACAAAGGGAUAGCCUCGGGAAACCGGGAUUAAUACCAUAUAACAUUGCGACGAAGCAUUUCGAUGCAAUCAAAGCUACGGCGGAAAGAGAUGGGCUCGCGUCCCAUUAACCGGAUGGUGAGGUAACGGCUCACCAUAGUGACGAUGGGUAACCGGCCUGAGAGGGUGAACGGUCACACUGGAACUGAGACACGGUCCAGACUCCUACGGGAGGCAGCAGUGGGGAAUAUUGCACAACGGAGGGAACUCUGAUGCAGCGACGCCGCGUGAGUGAUGAAGGAAUUCGUUUCGUAAAACUCUGUUCUAUGGGAAGAAAAGGACUGUACCAUAGGAGAAAGCUCCGGCUAAAUACGUG
This 480-nucleotide ribosomal RNA is filed under the name uncultured bacterium. RNAcentral describes it as "partial 16S ribosomal RNA". It matches the Rfam family "Bacterial small subunit ribosomal RNA", at positions 28 to 507 of the family's 1533-position model. The record is from RNAcentral.